GUGCACCAGGCGCGAAACCUCCGCAAUGCUCGAAAGAGCGACGGGGGGACUCCAAGUGCCUACGCUCAGCGUAGGCUGUUCCCGAGCCUAAAAAGCUCGGGGAGUAAGGGCUGGGUAAGACGGGUGCCAGCCGCCGCGGUAAUACCCGCAGCCCGAGUGGUGGCCGCUAUUAUUGGGCCUAAAGCGUCCGUAGCCGGCUCGGUAAAUGGCCUGGGUAAAUCGUCUGGCCCAACCAGACGAAUUCCGGGUAGACUGCCGGGCUAGGGACCGGAGGAGGGAGAGGGGUACUCCAGGGGUAGGGGUGAAAUCAGCAAGGUGAGUUGCUGAUGUAACUUGCCUUGCAAGUCACAAUCCUGUAAUCCCUGGAGGACCACCGGGUGGCG
Molecule: ribosomal RNA, 383 nt
Filed under: uncultured microorganism
Description: bacterial SSU rRNA
Rfam family: Archaeal small subunit ribosomal RNA
Source: RNAcentral